UAACAUGGCUAGUAUAUAAUGCUUCUUGGCUGCCCCGACAGUAAUUUUUGGUUUAAAUCUACUAACUUAUACAUGGUCACACUUAAGCGAGCAAAGAUAAACAAAUAAGACAAAAACAUUGAAAUUGCGUAGAAAUACGUGAAUUUCGUGAAAAUAUAAAUAAUUAUAAUGUUUAAUUCCAGAACACGCAUCCAGGACAGUUUUUGAUUGUCAUCAGGUAAGUAUUGCAGAUGUCCUUAUAAUCAUCCAGUGCGGAAGUCGUCAGUGUUGUUGUCACCGAUGAUUGGCAUGAGUUGUUACGAGUUGGGAUUAGUUGGAAUCGUGUUAAACUGUAGUUGUGAGGUGAGUACAUCAUACAGACACACACACAAACAUUUAUACUUAUAGUGAGUGUCUGGAUCACUCUUCUAAUCGUUCAUCUAAAUGGAUUGCUGCAAUGUGUUUCUCGACGACAGCGAUUCAGUGUGACCCUCCAUAUUGCUGCCAUAUGCUGCGUCUAUUUGGUCAAGUGGGCCAAAUAGUUUGAUAUCAGCAGCUUUUAUGCCAGUGCACUAUAUUGCUUAAGGAUCAUGCACGCUCAUUGUCGUGAUUGAGGCCUAACAGGGAAGACUUCAAUCAUUGCUGUGUGAUGAUUGGUUUGAGUGCUGGCGUCCGCUUCCAAUUGGCAACUCUUACAGUAUCACAAGAGUACCGAAUGAAAUAGUACUGGCAUCUUCCGUAUCAGUGCGGCAACCGUGAUGAUGUUCAUACAAGGGCACUGCCCUUGCAAUGGCCUAACUGGGACGGCCUCCAACUUCCACUUGCGAUGCAUUGUUUGGGAGCUGGCAUCUGCUCCAAAUUUGACAUUUGCAGC
This is a long non-coding RNA of Drosophila sulfurigaster albostrigata, 853 nucleotides long. RefSeq lists it as uncharacterized. The record is from RefSeq and is a predicted model, not a curated record. The transcript is spliced from 3 exons. Lineage: Eukaryota; Metazoa; Arthropoda; Insecta; Diptera; Drosophilidae.